This 253-nucleotide ribosomal RNA is filed under the name uncultured bacterium. RNAcentral's name for it is "partial 16S ribosomal RNA". It matches the Rfam family "Bacterial small subunit ribosomal RNA", at positions 524 to 776 of the family's 1533-position model. The record is from RNAcentral.
UACGUAGGGGGCGAGCGUUGUCCGGAUUUAUUGGGCGUAAAGAGCGUGUAGGCGGCCAGGUAGGUCAGCUGUGAAAACUCGAGGCUCAACCUCGAGAUGUCGGCUGAAACCAUCUGGCUAGAGUCCGGAAGAGGAGAAUGGAAUUCCCGGUGUAGCGGUGAAAUGCGCAGAUAUCGGGAAGAACACCCGUGGCGAAGGCGGUUCUCUGGGACGGUACUGACGCUGGAGACGCGAAAGCGUGGGAGCGAACAGG